RNAcentral lists this ribosomal RNA (445 nucleotides) under uncultured bacterium. RNAcentral describes it as "partial 16S ribosomal RNA". It matches the Rfam family "Bacterial small subunit ribosomal RNA", at positions 354 to 796 of the family's 1533-position model. The record is from RNAcentral.
GUGAGGAAUAUUGGUCAAUGGGCGGGAGCCUGAACCAGCCAAGUCGCGUGAAGGAAGAAGGAUCUAUGGUUCGUAAACUUCUUUUGCAGGGGAAUAAAGUGCAGGACGUGUCCUGUUUUGUAUGUACCCUGAGAAUAAGGAUCGGCUAACUCCGUGCCAGCAGCCGCGGUAAUACGGAGGAUCCGAGCGUUAUCCGGAUUUAUUGGGUUUAAAGGGUGCGUAGGUGGUUUGAUAAGUCAGCGGUGAAAGUUUGCAGCUUAACUGUAAAAAUGCCGUUGAAACUGUCGGACUUGAGUGUAAAUGAGGUAGGCGGAAUGCGUAGUGUAGCGGUGAAAUGCAUAGAUAUCACGCAGAACUCCGAUUGCGAAGGCAGCUUACUAAGCUACAACUGACACUGAAGCACGAAAGCGUGGGGAUCAAACAGGAUUAGAAACCCGGGUAGUCC